RNAcentral lists this ribosomal RNA (49 nucleotides) under Laurus azorica. RNAcentral describes it as "26S ribosomal RNA". Lineage: Eukaryota; Viridiplantae; Streptophyta; Magnoliopsida; Laurales; Lauraceae. The record is from RNAcentral.
AGGAGCAAAAAAAAAAUGUAUGAUAUUAGAGAAUUAAAAAAAAGUAAGG